Molecule: ribosomal RNA, 253 nt
Filed under: uncultured bacterium
Lineage: Bacteria
Description: partial 16S ribosomal RNA
Rfam family: Bacterial small subunit ribosomal RNA
Source: RNAcentral
UACGUAGGGAGCAAGCGUUGUCCGGAUUUACUGGGUGUAAAGGGUGCGUAGGCGGCUUUGCAAGUCAGAAGUGAAAUCCAUGGGCUUAACCCAUGAACUGCUUUUGAAACUGCAGGGCUUGAGUGGAGUAGUGGUAGGCGGAAUUCCCGGUGUAGCGGUGAAAUGCGUAGAGAUCGGGAGGAACACCAGUGGCGAAGGCGGCCUGCUGGGCUCUAACUGACGCUGAGGCGCGAAAGCGUGGGGAGCAAACAGG